Molecule: ribosomal RNA, 253 nt
Filed under: uncultured bacterium
Lineage: Bacteria
Description: partial 16S ribosomal RNA
Rfam family: Bacterial small subunit ribosomal RNA
Source: RNAcentral
GACGUAGGGCGCGAGCGUUGUCCGGAUUUAUUGGGCGUAAAGAGCUCGUAGGCGGCUUGUCGCGUCGAAUGUGAAAACUCGGGGCUCAACUCCGAGCUUGCAUUCGAUACGGGCAGGCUAGAGUUCGGUAGGGGAGGCUGGAAUUCCUGGUGUAGCGGUGAAAUGCGCAGAUAUCAGGAGGAACACCGGUGGCGAAGGCGGGUCUCUGGGCCGAUACUGACGCUGAGGAGCGAAAGCGUGGGGAGCGAACAGG